GGGGGAGACAAGAUGGCGGCUGCGGGAGGGGGUCCUCUCUUCUCAGCUCCCCCGCUCACCCGCCUUCUCCUUCCCUGCCGCCGCCCUCGCUCCAGGAGAGAGCUUUCGCACCGCCCCCGCCCUGCUCGGUGCCUACACGACUCCCAGAAAGUCGCGUCUUCCCUAACCCCCAUGCCCAGGACCUGAGGACAAAGGUCUAGCGAUUGUCCGUCCCCUCCCCCAGUGAGGACAGCCGGGAAAGAUCUGCCUUUGUUGUGUACAGAUGGUGUCUCACUGUGUUAUCCAGACUGGACUCAAAUUUCUGGGCUCCAAUGGUCCUCUUGCCUCAGCCUCCCAAGUAGUCAGGAGGACUACAGUGUUACUGUCCUUAUUUUACAGAUGAAGAAACUGAGGCCCCAGAUCACAGGGCUGGUGAGAAGAACAUGUGAUAUCUCCAGAGCUAACACUUAACUACUAUAGUGUACCACAAAAGGAGAGAGCAGCAUUAGAGAGGGGUGCCACUUCCUCUGAUGGAGGAUAAAAAAGAAAGAUUGCCAGCCUGGGCAACAUAGUGAGACCCUGUCUCUACAAAAAAUAAAAAUAAAAAAAUUA
RNAcentral lists this non-coding RNA (591 nucleotides) under Pongo abelii (Sumatran orangutan). Lineage: Eukaryota; Metazoa; Chordata; Mammalia; Primates; Hominidae. The record is from RNAcentral.